UCCAAUAACUACAAGCAACAUGUGGAGCC
Molecule: small RNA, 29 nt
Filed under: Bombyx mori (domestic silkworm)
Lineage: Eukaryota; Metazoa; Arthropoda; Insecta; Lepidoptera; Bombycidae
Description: ovarian small RNA-7145
Source: RNAcentral